UGUUGGCUUGCAAGUCCAUUGCCAAGGAUAAAUUGAUGACAGUUGAUGAUGUGCGCAGUGUUAAGCUUGAGAUUGAAAUAAUGUCUAGAUUGUCUGGGCAUCCAAAUGUUGUAAAUCUAAAGGCAGUCUACGAGGAGGAAGAAUGUGUCCACUUAUUAAUGGAGUUAUGUGCUGGUGGGGAGCUUUUCCACCAGCUCGAAAAGCAUGGCAGGUUUUCGG
Molecule: unclassified non-coding RNA, 219 nt
Filed under: Hevea brasiliensis (rubber tree)
Lineage: Eukaryota; Viridiplantae; Streptophyta; Magnoliopsida; Malpighiales; Euphorbiaceae
Source: RNAcentral